UGGCUAACUCCUACGGGAGGCAGCAGUAGGGAAUCUUCCACAAUGGACGAAAGUCUGAUGGAGCAACGCCGCGUGAGUGAUGAAGGUUUUCGGAUCGUAAAACUCUGUUGUAAGGGAAGAACACGUACGAGAGGGAAUGCUCGUACCUUGACGGUACCUUACGAGAAAGCCACGGCUAACUACGUGCCAGCAGCCGCGGUAAUACGUAGGUGGCAAGCGUUGUCCGGAAUUAUUGGGCGUAAAGCGCGCGCAGGCGGCCUUUUAAGUCUGAUGUGAAAGCCCCCGGCUCAACCGGGGAGGGCCAUUGGAAACUGGAAGGCUUGAGUACAGAAGAGAAGAGUGGAAUUCCACGUGUAGCGGUGAAAUGCGUAGAGAUGUGGAGGAACACCAGUGGCGAAGGCGACUCUUUGGUCUGUAACUGACGCUGAGGCGCGAAAGCGUGGGGAGCAAACAGGAUUAGAUACCCCGGUAGUCCAGCUGG
RNAcentral lists this ribosomal RNA (481 nucleotides) under uncultured bacterium. RNAcentral's name for it is "bacterial SSU rRNA". It matches the Rfam family "Bacterial small subunit ribosomal RNA", at positions 329 to 803 of the family's 1533-position model. The record is from RNAcentral.